CAGUAGCCGCGGUAAUACGUAGGUGGCAAGCGUUGUCCGGAAUUAUUGGGCGUAAAGGGCUCGCAGGCGGUUUCUUAAGUCUGAUGUGAAAGCCCUCGGCUCAACCGGGGAGGGUCAUUGGAAACUGGGAAACUUGAGUGCAGAAGAGGAGAGUGGAAUUCCACGUGUAGCGGUGAAAUGCGUAGGGAUGUGGAGGAACACCAGUGGCGAAGGCGACUCUCUGGUCUGUAACUGACGCUCAUGCACGAAAGCGUGGGGAGCAAACAGGAUUAGAUACCCGUGUAGUCCCUGUCUCUUAUAC
This 301-nucleotide ribosomal RNA is filed under the name uncultured bacterium. RNAcentral's name for it is "partial 16S ribosomal RNA". It matches the Rfam family "Bacterial small subunit ribosomal RNA", at positions 509 to 807 of the family's 1533-position model. The record is from RNAcentral.